Molecule: transfer RNA, 65 nt
Filed under: Limbodessus bigbellensis
Lineage: Eukaryota; Metazoa; Arthropoda; Insecta; Coleoptera; Dytiscidae
Description: tRNA-Leu
Source: RNAcentral
UAUUACUUUGGCAGAUUAGUGUGGUAGAUUUAGAAUUUAUUUAUGUAAAUUUUUUACAGGUAAUA